This 352-nucleotide unclassified non-coding RNA is filed under the name soil metagenome. RNAcentral's name for it is "partial contains 5.8S ribosomal RNA, internal transcribed spacer 2, and large subunit ribosomal RNA". The stretch from base 1 to 120 matches the Rfam family "5.8S ribosomal RNA", at positions 35 to 154 of the family's 154-position model. The record is from RNAcentral.
GAUGAAGAACGUAGCGAAAUGCGAUAAGUAAUGAGAAUUGCAGAAUUCAGUGAAUCAUCGAAUCUUUGAACGCACAUUGCGCCCGCCAGUAUUCUGGCGGGCAUGCCUGUUCGAGCGUCAUUACAACCCUCAGGCCCCCGGGCCUGGCGUUGGGGAGCGGCGGAGCCCCCCGUGGGCACACGCCGUCCCCCAAAUGCAGUGGCGGUCCCGCCGCAGCUUCCAUCGCGUAGUAGCUAACACCUCGCGACUGGAGAGCGGCGCGGCCACGCCGUAAAACACCCAACUCUUCUGAAGUUGACCUCGAAUCAGGUAGGAAUACCCGCUGAACUUAAGCAUAUCAAUAAGCGGAGGA